UGGGUAACCUGCCUCAAAGAGGGGAAUAGCCUCCCGAAAGGGAGAUUAAUACCGCAUAAUAUGUUUAGGUCGCAUGACUUUAACAUCAAAGGAUUUUCUUUUAGAAAUUCCACUUUGAGAUGGACCCGCGGCGCAUUAGCUAGUUGGUGAGGUAACGGCUCACCAAGGCAACGAUGCGUAGCCGACCUGAGAGGGUGAUCGGCCACAUUGGAACUGAGACACGGUCCAGCUCCUAGGAG
This 239-nucleotide ribosomal RNA is filed under the name uncultured bacterium. Its description in RNAcentral is "partial 16S ribosomal RNA". It matches the Rfam family "Bacterial small subunit ribosomal RNA", at positions 118 to 347 of the family's 1533-position model. The record is from RNAcentral.